Vigna umbellata (rice bean) is the source of this 761-nucleotide non-coding RNA. The record is from RefSeq and is a predicted model, not a curated record. Lineage: Eukaryota; Viridiplantae; Streptophyta; Magnoliopsida; Fabales; Fabaceae.
UUCUUUCUUCAGUCAAAUAUUUUUCUAAAUCUUCAAUUGAGUGUACGAGGAGUGAAAUUCAUUAAUAGAAUGUUCUGACUGUAACUCCUUCUGAUUAUUAUACUUUAUAUGAUGAUCAUUGUUAUUCAAAUAUAUUGGUAGGUUUUCAAUGAGAUUAGCUCCAGAGAUAUGGAGAGGAUAAAUGUGUUUGAAGGUAUAUUGAAGAAUUAUGUGUUCGUAGCUGUGCUCACUUGCACUGUGGUCUUCCAAAUUAUUAUUGUUGAAUUUUUGGGCACCUAUGCAAACACAUCUCCACUUAGUUUGAAGCAGUGGUUCGGUAGCGUUCUCUUUGGAGUCUUUGGCAUGCCAAUUGCGGCAGCUCUAAAGAUGAUCCCCGUGGGAUCUGUCUAAAAUCAAUGCAGACAAAUUAGUUAGCCAGGAAAAUUUGUGGAUGCCCAUUAUUUUUUGAAGACCAGAAGGGCAAUGCCCAGGAGUAAAAAGUGCUUCCAUUCAAUCCUAAAGAAGCAGUGAUGGCUGCACACAAACUUUGGCUUCUCAGAGUUUUCAGGUACUCGAUGGAUCGGAGUUCAGUAGGUCUGUUAUAAGAGAAUUGCAUUUGCUCUAGUUCUGCACAAUGUACAUUGUUCUGUGAAUUGGGCAGCUCCCUCUGUAGUUCCUAAAGAAGGUUUGAUGUCUUUUCUUCGGUACUCAUAAUUUAGUGUUGAGGCCGUUGGAACAAAAUUAUUUUAUUGUUUGAAACUAGUACCUGGUCAAGAUUUUAA